Molecule: ribosomal RNA, 498 nt
Filed under: uncultured bacterium
Lineage: Bacteria
Description: bacterial SSU rRNA
Rfam family: Bacterial small subunit ribosomal RNA
Source: RNAcentral
AGUCGACGGGAACCUUUUAUUGAAGCUUCGGCAGAUUUAGAUUGUUUCUAGUGGCGGACGGGUGAGUAACGCGUGGGUAACCUGCCUUGUACAGGGGGAUAACAGUCAGAAAUGACUGCUAAUACCGCAUAAGCGCACAGGACCGCAUGGCCCGGUGUGAAAAACUCCGGUGGUAUAAGAUGGACCCGCGUUGGAUUAGCUGGUUGGUGAGGUAACGGCCCACCAAGGCGACGAUCCAUAGCCGGCCUGAGAGGGUGAACGGCCACAUUGGGACUGAGACACGGCCCAGACUCCUACGGGAGGCAGCAGUGGGGAAUAUUGCACAAUGGGGGAAACCCUGAUGCAGCGACGCCGCGUGAAGGAAGAAGUAUCUCGGUAUGUAAACUUCUAUCAGCAGGGAAGAAAAUGACGGUACCUGACUAAGAAGCCCCGGCUAACUACGUGCCAGCAGCCGCGGUAAUACGUAGGGGGCAAGCGUUAUCCGGAUUUACUGGGUGU